UACGUAGGGUGCAAGCGUUAAUCGGAAUUACUGGGCGUAAAGCGUGCGCAGGCGGCUUUGCAAGACAGAUGUGAAAUCCCCGGGCUUAACCUGGGAACUGCAUUUGUGACUGGCAGGCUAGAGUAUGGCAGAGGGGGGUAGAAUUCCACGUGUAGCAGUGAAAUGCGUAGAGAUGUGGAGGAAUACCGAUGGCGAAGGCAGCCCCCUGGGCCAAUACUGACGCUCAUGCACGAAAGCGUGGGGAGCAAACAGG
Molecule: ribosomal RNA, 253 nt
Filed under: uncultured bacterium
Lineage: Bacteria
Description: partial 16S ribosomal RNA
Rfam family: Bacterial small subunit ribosomal RNA
Source: RNAcentral